Poecilia latipinna (sailfin molly) is the source of this 763-nucleotide long non-coding RNA. RefSeq lists it as uncharacterized. The record is from RefSeq and is a predicted model, not a curated record. The transcript has 3 exons. NCBI's taxonomy places the organism in Eukaryota, Metazoa, Chordata, Actinopteri, Cyprinodontiformes, Poeciliidae.
UCACACCAUGACACUUUACAUUCAAUCCAUUGUCAAAUGUUGUCAAUAUGGCUGUACAUAUAAAAAAAAAAAUGUAAAAAAAGUAAGAUUUUAUGACUCAUUUCAGAAAUUCUUAUAUUUCUGAAACUCAUUGCACAGAGUGAAGUAUUUCAAGCCUGCAUUUCUGGAUUCAUUUUGCAUGAAUUACUGCAUCAACGUGGCAUGACAUGGAGGCGAUCAGCCUCUGGUUCUACUUCAGUGUAACGGAAGCACAGAUUGAAAACAGUGGGCAAAAGGCAGCAUUUGACAUAGCUCCAGAAAUCCUUUGUAAGACCUUUCUCGCAUCGUCUGCGGCACAGGAGUGCACCUUUUCUCAACACUUUUAUCAAUUAAUUUACAUUCAUCUGGAAACGGGACUCUGUACCAUUACAGACAUGACAUUUCAAAGAAGAAUAGAGCUCCUCCGCCCAGAACUCGUCUUCCCUGAGGAGCUCUUUUUCCCCUAAACUUAGACAGAACAUGUUUUGUAGCGCAUACAGCAUUCUCCUGUAUGUGGUGGCUCUCGAAGCACCUACUACAACCUCAGUACAUGUGUUGUGAAGUUCCCCCAAGUAAGGAAUACUUUACACAUUCAAGUCUACAUUAGUGCUUUUCAUUUCAAACAACUAAAGCAUAAAAUCACGUGCUUGGAAAGGUGAGAAUGAAAAGAGGCACCGUGUUUCUACUUCAGCCCAAACAUAUGUGACGUCAGCAGCACAUUAUUAAAGACCUGUGAAUUGUGCAA